AACGUAGGACGCAAGCGUUAUCCGGAGUUACUGGGCGUAAAGAGCGCGCAGGCGGGUUGUUAAGUUCUGCAUGAAAGCUCCUGGCUAAACUGGGAGAGGAUGGAGGAUACUGACAGCCUAGAGUGAGGAAGAGGAAGGUGGAAUUCCGCGUGUAGUGGUGAAAUGCGUAGAGAUGCGGAGGAACACCAGUGGCGAAGGCGGCCUUCUGGUCCUCAACUGACGCUGAGGCGCGAAAGCAUGGGUAG
Molecule: ribosomal RNA, 245 nt
Filed under: uncultured Chloroflexota bacterium
Lineage: Bacteria; Bacillati; Chloroflexota
Description: uncultured Chloroflexi bacterium partial 16S ribosomal RNA
Rfam family: Bacterial small subunit ribosomal RNA
Source: RNAcentral